RNAcentral lists this unclassified non-coding RNA (269 nucleotides) under Hevea brasiliensis (rubber tree). The record is from RNAcentral. Lineage: Eukaryota; Viridiplantae; Streptophyta; Magnoliopsida; Malpighiales; Euphorbiaceae.
ACACAUAGCCGUCGAAUUAUCAAAGCCCCACGUUUCUCGAGGAGUGAGUGAUCAUGCUGAAAGCUGUGAACAAGGAAAACAACUAGCUGCCGGAAGUGUUGCGGAUCUUCAGCUAUGCAUGCGUGCACCUCAAGAACCAGGAGCACUACCUCAUCGGAGGGAUCCGAUAGCGCCCUUAGGAGAGUGUCAAAGACAUCAUUCAGAAAAACCAAGACCUCGGACCGAUGUCCAUUAAGCAGGGUCCACAUCCAAUGUAAUGAUUCAAUACG